RNAcentral lists this ribosomal RNA (640 nucleotides) under uncultured actinomycete. Its description in RNAcentral is "bacterial SSU rRNA". It matches the Rfam family "Bacterial small subunit ribosomal RNA", at positions 232 to 885 of the family's 1533-position model. The record is from RNAcentral. Lineage: Bacteria; Bacillati; Actinomycetota; Actinomycetes; Actinomycetales.
CGCGGCCUAUCAGCUUGUUGGUGGGGUAACGGCCUACCAAGGCAACGACGGGUAGCUGGUUUGAGAGAACGAUCAGCCACACUGGGACUGAGACACGGCCCAGACUCCUACGGGAGGCAGCAGUGGGGAAUCUUGCGCAAUGGGCGAAAGCCUGACGCAGCAACGCCGCGUGCGGGAUGACGGCCUUCGUGGUUGUAAACCGCUUUCAGCGGGGACGAAAUUGACGGUACCUGCAGAAGAAGCCCCGGCUAACUACGUGCCAGCAGCCGCGGUAAUACGUAGGGGGCAAGCGUUGUCCGGAAUCAUUGGGCGUAAAGAGCUCGUAGGCGGUUCAGUAAGUCGGGUGUGAAAGCUCCGAGCUCAACUCGGAGAGGCCACUCGAUACUGCUGUGACUAGAAUCCAGUAGGGGAGUGUGGAAUUCCUGGUGUAGCGGUGAAAUGCGCAGAUAUCAGGAGGAACACCAGCGGCGAAGGCGGCACUCUGGGCUGGUAUUGACGCUGAGGAGCGAAAGUGUGGGUAGCAAACAGGAUUAGAUACCCUGGUAGUCCACACCGUAAACGUUGGGCACUAGGUGUGGGGAGGAUCAACCCUUUCCGUGCCGUAGCUAACGCAUUAAGUGCCCCGCCUGGGGAAGUACGG